AUCCCAUGGUGAGGGCAUUCCCUUUGGUCUUCUUUGAAUCGGUCCCAAGCUUCAAAAAGUGACUCGUCCCGCUUUUGCUCAAAGGAUUGGAUUUUGUGGCGAU
Non-coding RNA from Spinacia oleracea (spinach), 103 nucleotides. Lineage: Eukaryota; Viridiplantae; Streptophyta; Magnoliopsida; Caryophyllales; Amaranthaceae. The record is from Rfam.